UUUCCGUGGGUGAACCUGCGGAAGGAUCAUUAUUGUAUAACCGAGGUGCGAGGGCUGUCGCUGACCCGAAAGGUCGUGCACGCCCGAGUUUCCUCACACACAUCCAUCUCACCCCUAUGUGAACCUCCGCGUGGAUCCCCCCGAGGCUUCUUCGGAGGGGGGCUUACGUCUUAACACAUACUUUGUAUGCAGUGUAGAAUAUAUUAUAUGUUUUUGCGAUCACGCAACUAAUACAACUAUCAACAACGGAUCUCUUGGCUCUC
Molecule: unclassified non-coding RNA, 263 nt
Filed under: plant metagenome
Description: partial contains small subunit ribosomal RNA, internal transcribed spacer 1, and 5.8S ribosomal RNA
Source: RNAcentral